AUGAUUGCUCUUAUCGGUAUGGCUCCUACCGAGGCUGAGGCUGAUGUAGAGGAAGGAGAAGAGAAGAAGAAGAGUGAAAGGAAAGCAGCCGGAGCUGCUUUCACGUGGAUUCAAAAUAACUUUGCGACGUGCCCUCCGGAUGCCACUGAUGAUGUGAUCCAGACACAUGCUCAUGUCUACAUGUGGUACAUUGUGUCGAGGACUUUGUUUCCUGACUCCACUGGCAAGAACGCUCCAUGGAUGUGGCUGAAGGCGUUGACCGUGUUCGAUAGCAAAUGGAGCUGGGGUUCAGCGACUCUUGCCUACUUGUACCGACAGCUGGACGAUGCGUGUUGCAGGAUCACAGAUAGUGCAUGCAUUGGUGGUAAUAUGCUUCUACUUUCUGUAUGGAGCUGGGAGCGUCUGCCUGUUGGACGCCCGAAGAGCGUCAGGUUUAAUCCUUGGUAUGAAGAUGAAGAUGACGAAUUACGGCGCCCCACUUGGGCUUACAAAUGGGAUGUGGUUUCCGAGAUGACGAACGAUGUCAAUCUCAUGUACCAGAAGUACGUUGCCGAGUUGGACACGAUUACGCCUGAGCAGCCUCACCCGCCGGAAUGGGUGGAUACGGACAAAGCACUUCAUAGGUUGGACAGGAGAAGGCAGCAGAAGAUAAAGGACUGGGACACGCAUCAUGCUUCGUAUGUUACCCGCUUCCAGCUUUGCGUGGAGCAAGCUCGUAGCAGUGCACGCGCCCAGCUUCGUGAGCAUAACCCACUUGCUUUUGAUAACUACAUACGAUGGCUUCUUGAAAAUACUCAAGUUGAGAUAUACCCGCCGGCAUAUAAUGAGGAUAUUCUUGAAGAACCCGUAAACUUUGAGGAUCUAUCAAAGGGGAAGUACAACAGAGAUGUCAGGAAAGCAGCUGAUGAGAGCCAGUCUAUUCUCGAGAACACACCGGUUGGAAAAGGCAAUGAUGAUGGUUCACUACGAGCAUUCCUCAAGCGUCAGGCCAAGAAGUUAAGGCGGUUAUCGAAUCUUCUCGGUUGUCGUGAUCCCGAAUUUGAUGAACCAUCUGCCUCUAGGUCUGGUACACCAUCAGACCCCUCAUCUCACCAUCAGGGGGACGAUGUGAGUUCCUCAUAUGCUUAUCUGGAUGAUGAUGGCGUGGUCACCCAAGAGGGCAAUGAGCUUGAUGAUGACAUGACUUUGGCGGACGCUCAACUUCGGUCCCCAUAUGUGUUCAAGCCCAGGCAGCCAAGACGCCGAUACACGCCCAACGACUUUGACAACGGAGGCAGCCCAAAGGUGGUCGUAGGGACAUCGCGGAUGGCUAGCUUGGAUGACGAGGCGGAGGCGGAGGCGGAGGAGGAAGUGCAGGAAGAGGAGCCUCGCGAUGCGGCACGGCGCUCGUCGACGACCGUCGGUGCUGCAAUGCAGCAAUGCGUCCACGGCCGCGAGCUGCGACGCAACAACUCGCUCACGGCGCCGUGCUGUGAUGCAACCUCGUCGGCGCUACGAUGCAAUCUCGUCGCCGCUACUGUUGGUGAUAUAAGUCGUCGGCGUCGGAGCUUCAACGGAUCGCUCGUCGGCGGUUACCCGUGCUCCAAUGCAGCACUCGUGCAACGCUCGUCGGCGGCUCGAUGCAGCGACUCUGACGACUCUCGGGGGGAGGUUGGUGUAGCAAUGGAGCUGCAGCACAACAGCGUGAUGCUAGGCGCCAGGACGGCGGAGUUGCAGUGCAACACUCCGGUGGGGCGGCUGGCGACAGAGCUGCAGUGGAGCGGGGCGCGGUGCUACGCACAGGGCGGCGGAGCUGCGGUGCAACACUCCGGUGGAGGGCGGAGCUGUAGUGCAACGAGGCGUGGUGGUGGCGUAGUGGCGCGCAGGGCGGCGAAGCUGCAGCUGCCGUGGAACACUCCGAUGGGGCAGCGGAGCUCUGCAACGUUCCGUCCUGCUGAUGCUGGUGCGGCUGCCGAGUUUGCAGCGUGA
This 1968-nucleotide ribosomal RNA is filed under the name Triticum aestivum (bread wheat). RNAcentral describes it as "partial small subunit ribosomal RNA". Lineage: Eukaryota; Viridiplantae; Streptophyta; Magnoliopsida; Poales; Poaceae. The record is from RNAcentral.